UGGGGAAUUUUGGACAAUGGACGCAAGUCUGAACCAGCCAUGCCGCGUGAAGGAUGAAGGUCCUCUGAAUUGUAAACUUCUUUUAUCUGGGACGAAAACGGGAUUUUUAUCUCAAUUGACGGUACCAGAGGAAUAAGCACCGGCUAACUCCGUGCCAGCAGCCGCGGUAAUACGGAGGGUGCGAGCGUUAUCCGGAUUUACUGGGUUUAAAGGGUGCGUAGGUGGGCUUAUAAGUCAGUGGUGAAAUCUCCGAGCUUAACUUGGAAACUGCCGUUGAUACUAUAGGUCUUGAAUUAUCUGGAGGUAAGCGGAAUAUGUCAUGUAGCGGUGAAAUGCUUAGAUAUGACAUAGAACACCAAUUGCGAAGGCAGCUUACUACAUAUAAAUUGACGCUGAGGCACGAAAGCGUGGGGAUCAAACA
RNAcentral lists this ribosomal RNA (421 nucleotides) under uncultured bacterium. Its description in RNAcentral is "bacterial SSU rRNA". It matches the Rfam family "Bacterial small subunit ribosomal RNA", at positions 355 to 774 of the family's 1533-position model. The record is from RNAcentral.